Molecule: non-coding RNA, 75 nt
Organism: Anas platyrhynchos (mallard)
Lineage: Eukaryota; Metazoa; Chordata; Aves; Anseriformes; Anatidae
Source: Rfam
CUAUAUGUACCCUGUAGGCUCGAAUUUGUGUGAGCGUCUCCAAGUCACAAAUUCGUCUCUAGGGGAAUAUAUGGG